RNAcentral lists this ribosomal RNA (404 nucleotides) under uncultured bacterium. RNAcentral describes it as "partial 16S ribosomal RNA". It matches the Rfam family "Bacterial small subunit ribosomal RNA", at positions 28 to 526 of the family's 1533-position model. The record is from RNAcentral.
GACGAACGCUGGCGGCGUGCUUAACACAUGCAAGUCGAGCGGAGCGGAGAACGGGUGAGUAACGCGUGAGUAACUGCCCCCCUCCCUGGGAUAACAGUUGGACACGGCUGCUAAUACCGGAUAGUGGGGGAUGACUCGCGUCCUAUCCGCUUUUUGGUGGGGUAGUGGCCUACCAAGGCGACGACGGGUAGCCGUCCUGAGAGGGCGACCGGCCACAUUGGGCUAAGUUACGGCCCAGACUCCUACGAGAGGCAGCUGUGGGGUAUAUUGCACAAUGGGCGAAAGCCUGAUUCAACGACGCCGCGUGUGGAAUGAAGGCUUUCGGGUUGUAAACCUCUUUCGCUAUGACGAGGUGGGUGGAGAAGAAGCACCGGCUAACUACGUGCCAGCAGCCGAGGUAAUUC